RNAcentral lists this long non-coding RNA (884 nucleotides) under Papio anubis (olive baboon). RNAcentral describes it as "lncRNA (ENSPANG00000046439.1)". The record is from RNAcentral. Lineage: Eukaryota; Metazoa; Chordata; Mammalia; Primates; Cercopithecidae.
CUUUUCCCAUCAUUCCUAUAGAGACAGAAGACUUUGCCAAGUGGUCCAAGCUUUGCUGAAGACCUAAGGACUUUGGGAUUGAUAGAGCUGACAAGCCAUAGCAGGACGGCCAUCCCCUGAGAGAUAGGAGAGGAGGAGAAACAGCCCGACAGGGGCCUGGAGCAGCUGGCUGGCGUCAGUAAUUUCCUGCAGGAGACUCUGCUGGCCGAGCACACGUCACCCUUCUGUUGAUCCUCUGUAUUCUCCCUUGUGCUACUAAAAUACGCUAAUGUAAGUCCUGGGCUGUGCUGAGCUAAAUGCAGUUAUUUAACUUCAUCGCUAUGGAACCCAGGUCUAAAGCAGCAACAUCUAUUUGGAACAAGGUGGGGAGGAGGAAAAAUAAUCUUCCCUGGAUCUGAGCAACUGUAUUAAGUUUGUGCUUGUCCGACACCCGCAACACAUGCCCCUACCUGGAGAAGAGAGUCUGGAACAAUUGGUCUCCUAGGAUUCCCUGAAAGUCACAGUUACCUGCAUCAAAGUAUCAAGGAGGCCACUUAAUGACAGAAAUGUUAGGAGUGGGAUGCCUUUUCUUCUGCCCUUGGGCAUCAGAUUCCAGGUUCUUUAGCCUUUGGACUCUGGGACUUGCACCAGUGGCUCCCCUGGGGUUCUCAGACCCAGAGCUUCAGGCUGCAGACUGCACUGUUGGCUUUCCGAAUUUUGAAGCUUUUAGACUUGGACUGAGCCACGCAACUAGGUUUUCUCAUUCUCCAGCCUACAGACAGCAUACCAUGGGACUUUGCCUUUGUAAUCAUGUGAGUCAGUCCUCCCUAAUAAAUUCAUAUAUAUAUAUCCCAUUGGUUCUGUCCCUCUGCAGAACCGUGACUGAUACAGUCAUGUCCUCUUAG